CUGCCCCGCCGGGCCUGCCCCGCGCAGUCUGGGUCCCUGCGCUGCAGCCGCCCGCCCGCCCGCCCUCUCCGCGCCCGGCCCCGGGAUGACGGCGGCCCAGGCCGCGGGCGAGGAGGCGCCACCAGGCGUGCGGUCGGUCAAGGUGGUCCUGGUGGGCGACGGCGGCUGCGGGAAGACCUCGUUGCUGAUGGUCUUCGCCGAUGGGGCCUUCCCCGAGAGCUACACCCCCACCGUGUUUGAGCGGUACAUGGUCAACCUGCAAGUGAAAGGCAGACCUGUGCACCUCCACAUCUGGGACACAGCAGGGCAAGAUGACUAUGACCGCCUGCGGCCCCUGUUCUACCCUGAUGCCAGUGUCCUGCUGCUCUGCUUUGAUGUCACCAGCCCGAACAGCUUUGACAACGUCUUUAACCGGCUCUGCCUGAGGUUGCUGGAUGACCCAGAGGCUCCUGCAUCUCCCCAGCCUGUGCCUGCCCGAGGUGCACGAACCGUGAAGUCAGAGUGCGGCAGCUCUGCGUGGCUGCUGGUUCUCAAAGUGGUACCCAGAAGUGAAUCAUUUCUGCAAGAAGGUGCCCAUCAUCGUCGUGGGCUGCAAGACUGACCUGCGCAAGGACAAAUCACUGGUGAACAAGCUCCGAAGAAACGGGUUGGAGCCUGUGACCUACCACAGGGGCCAGGAGAUGGCGAGGUCUGUUGGCGCGGUGGCCUACCUCGAGUGCUCGGCUCGGCUCCAUGACAAUGUCCACGCUGUCUUCCAGGAGGCGGCCGAAGUGGCCCUCAGCAGCCGCGGUCGCAACUUCUGGCGGCGGAUUACCCAGGGCUUUUGCGUGGUGACCUGAGCAUCUCGGGGCGUCCCAGCAGCGCGGGAAGGGGCAGGGUGCUGACCUACUGCUGAGCUAGCUGGGCUGGACCCGGUCCCUAGGCUGUGACCGCCAAACUGCACCACAACAGACGGGUGCCACCAAGGCCAAGCCCUGGGGCCUGGGAGUCUUGGACUGAGAAAGGGGGUUCCUGGGCCCACCUGCCCUAUGUAGGGCUCAUCCUGCCAUGCCCGAGAAUCACUCACUGACCCCUUCACCUGGUCCCAGACCGACAUCCUGGAGCCGCCUGUGCAGCCUGAUGCCCCCUCGUGGCUGCUCCCAGGGCUGCACCUGCCAGGACCUAAAGUUCUUAGGUCCCUCCUGCCAGAACCCACACCCAGCCCCAUCGCACCUGUCUUACUGGUAACUGUAACAAGGAAAACGACAUCACUUGUCA
Molecule: RNA transcript, 1257 nt
Organism: Chlorocebus sabaeus (green monkey)
Lineage: Eukaryota; Metazoa; Chordata; Mammalia; Primates; Cercopithecidae
Gene: RHOD
Gene name: ras homolog family member D
Source: RefSeq, a predicted model, not a curated record